Molecule: non-coding RNA, 2186 nt
Organism: Chiloscyllium plagiosum (whitespotted bambooshark)
Lineage: Eukaryota; Metazoa; Chordata; Chondrichthyes; Orectolobiformes; Hemiscylliidae
Source: RefSeq, a predicted model, not a curated record
GUCAUGAAAGGCGCUAUAGAAAUACAAGUAUUUCCCUUCUUUAUCAGCAUGAGUUGUGCAUUAGGAAUUCAACCGUCCUUAAGAAGGCUUCCUGUUGAUUUGAGAUUAGUGGCAGCACAGUGUGAACACUGAAGGAAGCCAAGGGGUUGCUGGUUGACCUUAAUACAUCCCUUGCCUGAUGCUGCCAGACUUGCUGAGCUUUUCCAGCAGUCUCUGUUUUUGCUUCAAACUCCGGCAACCUGACGUCAGUGAGAAUCAGAAAAUGGUGGCAAACAUUUGUCAGCCCUGGCUGUUUGAAUUUGAGAGGAUAAGAGGAGAAGAACAUGAACAAUUAGUGCAAAGGGGCACAGACUAUGGGGGUGAGAUGCCUCGCAUAAGGUCCCUCAGCCACUUUGAGGAACCUCAGCCCCUCUGGGGAUGCAGGUCUGAAUCCUGCCAUAGCAUAAGGUGCAACUUGAAUUCAAUAACAAUCUGGAGUUAACACCAUAAUGGUGACCAUGACCUCAUUGCCAAUUGUUGAGGAAAAAUUGCAAAGCCGAGGCUGAUUGAUAUUUGUUCAAAUGUGGAUCCAAUAAAUUUGAGAUGAAGAUCAGCCAUGAUUGUACUGAAUGGUGGAACAGGUUGAAUGGCCAAUUCCUGUAUCUACCACUAAGUCUCUACCAAUUAAAUUCAGAAGCUACCCCAGUGAUUUCAGAUUUGAAUUCAAUCAAAGUGUGGCCUGAUGAUUUGCACUGCAUAUGUUACAUUUCAGUGGAGUCAAUGAUUGUGCUGUACAAGGGUCAACUUGUACAGUGGCCGUGCUCUCACCACUAAAUCAGCUGGUAUAUGAUUAUAAACUCCACUCAACAGGUGUAAGCGUCCCUUCGCAACUCACACAACAUUGCAGAGCCUAGAGGGCAUGUGCUGUGCAUCCUCAUUUAGUAAUCACCUGGAGCAUGUUGCCAAUCAGUAGCCCAUUAACAGAGAAAAGACCAGACGCCAUAACUGAAGAUAAAAUUCUUAGUACAAUCUUCAACAUGUAUUACAGCCCAUUGGUGUGCUAUAUAAUACAGUAUAUUGAUGUGUUACGUAUUACAGCCCAUUGGUGUGCUAUGUGAGUACAGUAUAUUGGUGUGCUGUGUAUUAGAGUCCAUUGAUGUGUUAUGUAUAACAAUGUAUUGGUGUGUUAUGUAUUACAGUGUAUUGGUGUGCUAUAAAUAAAGUCCAUUGUUGUACUAUGUAUUACAAUGUAUUAGUGUGCUAUGUAAUGCAGUCUAUUGGUGUGUUAUGUAUUACAGUCCAUUGGUGUGCUAUGUAUUACAGGUAUCCUGAUUCCUGAUGAAGGGCUUGUGCCCAAAAUGUUGAUUCUCCUGCUCCUUGGAUUACAAUCCAUUGGUGGGCUAUGUAAUACAAUGUAUUGGUGUGCUAUGUAAUACAGUGCAUUAGUGGGCUAUAUGAUACAGUCCAUUGGUGUGCUAUGUAAUACAGUGUAUUAGUGUGUUAUGUAUUACAGUGUAUUGGUGUGCUAUGUUUUGGUGUGCUAUGAAUUACAGUGUAUUGGUGUGCUAUGUAAUACAGUGCAUUAGUGGGCUAUAUGAUACAGCCCAUUGGUGUGCUAUGUAUUACAGUGUAUUGGUGCACUAUGUAAUAUAAUCCAUUGGUGCACUAUGUAAUGCAGUCCAUUGGUGCACUAUGUAUUACAGUGUAUUGGUGUGCUAUUUAUUACAGCCCAUCGGUGUGCUAUGAAUUACAGUGUAUUUGUUGUCUAUGUAAUAUAAUCCAUUGGUGUGCUAUGUAUUACAGUUUAUUGGUGUGCUAUGUAAUACAGUGUAUUGGUAUGCUAUGUAUUACAGUCCAUUGGUGUGCUAUGUGUUACAGUCCAUUUGUGUGUUAUGUAUCACCAUGUAUUGGUGUUCUAUGUAAUACAGUGUAUUGGUGUGCUUAUGUAUUACAGCCCAUUGGUGGGUGAUGUAUUAGAGUCCAUUGGUAUGCUAUGUAAUACAGUGCAUUGGUGUGCCAUGUAUAACAGUCAUAGAGUCAUAGAAUCAUCGAGAUGUACAGCAUUGGUUUGCUAUAUAAUACAAUGCAUUAGUGUAAUACAGUGUAUUAAUGAGCUAUGUAUUACAAUCCAUUGGCGUAUUACAGGGCAAAAGUGAGGACUGCAGAUGCUGGAAACCAGAGUUUAGAUUAGAGUGGUGCUGGAAAAA